CACCUUUCACUUCUGCCCUCAUUUCUCCAGUGAUUUAAAAAAAAAUUAUUUUGGCAAUUUAUCUGAAACAUUACCGAUAAUAGUGAUGGAGAGAGGUUGGGCAGGGACAGUGGGCUGCAGAAGCGUCCAGUGCAAAGUCCAGAUUUCCCCUUAAUCACAGGCUGGGAAGAAUGUGACCAGUAGCCAGAACAGUCAAUGAGGAGAGGAGAAGGGACUUCCAAGACAAAAGGAAGGGGAGCAAAGGUAAUUGCUAUCUGGUAAUUGCCCGAUGUCAUACAUGGGAAUACAACAGAGAACAAAUGGACAAAGUCACUGCUGUCAUGGAGGGGAGAUGAAAAAGUAGCACAGAGAGCUCAUCUCCAUGAAAGGCUGCAAAUACCAGAUGCCUGCCUUGCCUGCCUUUCAGUCAACGCAUGAACGAGUCGUCCAAAAACCCCCACAACGGUUCCAUAAGUUGUAGCUUAUGGUCAAAUAGAUGGGAAAAGGGAGAGACCGCAAGUCACGAGCCAGUCAGGAGGCUUUCACCGGAUUCUAGAACAGAGGGCCAUGUCCUGUCUGUAAGAAAAAAACGACAUUGGAAGAAAAACUGUCCUCAUCUCCAGAGAGAGAGGGAGACAGGAACUCACUUCCCUGCCUGAGAGCAGGAACCAGAGGAUCUGGCGUGAUGGGGCCCUGAGGCUGGUCUGGCUCCCUUUGACAUCAAGAUGACUGAGCCCUGGAUUACUCUGGAUGUGGAAGGCAAGUUUAUCAAUUUUGUUAUUGAUAUAGGAGCCACUUUCUCUGUUCCUAUUCAGCACUCCGGUUCUGCUUGUUUUUCUAACCAUAAAAUUGUUGGCAUAGAAGGGGAAACUACGUGCCAUUGGACAAUGCCUUUAACCUGUAUAUACAAAAGUCAAUGGGUUACUCAUGUUUUUCUACUUCUUCUGUCUUGUCCUACUCCAUUACUUGGACAAGACUUAAUGUGUAAACUGGGAAGCAGGUUUUCCCUUACUAAAGAGGCUUGUUCUCUUUAACACCUGGAGAGCUAAAACCUUAUCCUGCUAUCCCUACUACUAGCUGGAAGGAAAUAAAUCCACAAGUCUGGGAUUGUGGAUGUCCUAGGACAUCCUAGGAAGCCCUAGGACGGCUCUUAAAGCCCAACCAGUUAAAGUGAUUUUAAAGAACCCAACCAGGGGUGCCUGGGUGGCUCAGUCGCUUAAGCAUCCAACAUUGGCUCAGGUCAUGAUCUCAUGGUUCCGAAUUGGAGCCCCACUUUGGAUCCUCUGUCUCCCUCUCGUUGUCCCUGCCCCCAACUCUAAAAUAAAUAAACAUUUAAAAAAGAUAAAUAAAUAAAGGACCCAAUCACUACCCUUCAUAGAAAACAAUAUCCCUUAAAACCUGAGGCAAAGGCUGGAUUGCAACCACUUUAUUGGUAAGUUUCUCAAACAUAGUAUUUUAAAGCCUUGUCAAUCUCCUUAUAACAAUCCAAUUUUACCAGUCAAAAAGCCAAGUGGGGACUAUUGAAUGGUACAAGACUUGAGAACUAUAAAUGAAGCUUUAUGCCUGUUCAUCCCAUAGGCCCAAAUCCCUAUACUAUUUUCACCCAGGUCCCUGGUGAUGCCCACUGGUUUAUAGUACUCAUUUAAAAGACACCUUCUUUUGCAGCCCUCUAAGUGAGGAAAUGCAGCCACUAUUCGCCUUUGAAUGGGCCUCACCUUUGAGCCCCCAGGCUAUUCAGUUAACAUGGAUGGUCUCCCCAAGCCACCACUGGGAUUUAGAGACAGUCCUCACCUUUUUUGAGACUGCAUUUAGUAAAGACCUUCAUGCUAUCGCCUUGCCUCAAGGGACUACAGUUCAGUAUGUGGAUGAUAUUUGAUUCCGUAGUCCCACGAGAGAAAUGUCUGAUGGCAAUUCUGUAACUUUACUUGAUUUCUUGGCAGACAGGAGAGGGUACUGCAUCUUCCUUAAAAAGAUGCAAAUAUCUAAACAGAAAGUACAAUAUUUGGGAUAUGAGCUAACGCCAGGUCACCAUAUCCUGUCUACUGACAGGAAAAAGACUAUAUUAGAUCCUGGACCCCCAGCUAUGAGAAAACAACUCCGUACUUCCCUAGGAAUAGCAGGUUCUUCCCAGUUUACACUUUCCUAGGUAUGGAUUCCUGGAUUUGGGCUCUUAGCCAAACCAUUGUAUGGUUCAGUUAAAAGCCCUGACGAGGAACCUUUAUUCUGAACUAAAGCCCAGCAGACGGCCUUUCAAACAUUAAAAGCUUUUGCCAGCCCCCGAUUUGGCUUUACCAAAUUUAGAAAAACCUUUCACUGUAUAUGAAGCAGAAAAACAGGUACAAGCUGUGGGAGUUCUUACCCAGAAAUUAGGAAGUGAAACAAGACCGGUGGGCUAUUUUCCGAAGUCACUCGAUAAUGUCGCUCAAGGUGGCGGCUUGUCUUCGAGGGGUGGCUGCAAGAGGCCUCCCAGUAGAAGAGGCCUCAAAACUUACUCUGACACAGUCUCUGCGAGUGAUGACUCCACAUCUGGUCCAGAGUGUCUUAGAAACCAAAGGCCACCAAUGGAUGACGGGAGGCCACUUAGCAAAUACCAGGCUAGAUACACCUGAAAUAAUACUUAAAACCUGUCAAAGCUUAAGCCUAGCUAUCCUUAUGCCUGGCCAUUAUACUUGUAUGAUAGACUGCGACUACUCAGAGAUUAUUGAUCCUGUUUAUUCUAGCAGACCAGAUUUAAAGGAGUCCCCUAUUGAAAAUGCAGAUGAUAAUUGGUUUACUGAUGGCAGUAGCUUCCUGGAUAAGGGAGAGAGAAAAGCUGGAUGUGCUAUAGUUAGUUUAAUUAAGACCACUGAGGCAAAAGCCCUUCCAACAAAUACUUCUGCUCAAAAGGCUGAAUUAAUAGCACUUAUCCAUACUCUUCAAUUGCUACAUACCCAUGGAGGAAGGAAAGGGGAUUAUUAUCAAGCCGUAAUUCCCCAAUCAAAUAUGGGCCUGAAACUAUUUCUUUUCUUUUCUUUUCUUUUUUUUCUAAUGUUUAUUUAUUUUUUGAGAAAAAGAGACAGAGCACAAGCAGGGGAGGGGCAGAGAGACAGGGAGACACAGAAUCUGAAGCAGGCUCCAGACCCUGAGCUGUCAGCACAGAGCCCAAAACAGGGCUUGAAUUCACAGAGUGCAAGAUCAUGACCUGAGCCGAAGUUGGAUACUUAACUGACUGAGCCAUCCAGGGGCCUCUGAAAUUAUUUCUCUUCUUGAGGCUGUAUAUCUAUCUAAGGAGGUAGCUGCAGUUCACCUCAAAGGACCUCAGAAGGAUAUGAUCUUAGGGGGACCUGGGUGGCUCAGUCGGUUAAGCAUCUGACUCUUGAUUUUGGCUCAGGUCAUGAUCUCACAGUUUGUGAGAUUGAGCUCUGCACAGGGCUUUGUGCUGACAGUGCAGAGCCUGCUUGGGAUUCUCUCUUUCUCCCUCUCUCUGUCCUUCCCCCACUUGCAUGCAAACAUUCUCUCAUUCUCUCUCUCUCUCUCUCUUUCAUAAAUAAACUUAAAAAAAAAAAAAGGAUAUGAUCUUAGAAUCUAAAGGAAACAACUUGGCAAACCAUGCAGCCAAACAGGCAGCGCAAAAUAAAUAUUCAGUCUCAUACCAAUCUUAACUCCAAUAAAGUCCAUAAUUCCAAUCUAUUCAGACCAAGAAAUUCACAAAGUGCAGGAAUGAGGAUAUUCAAAAAAUGCAUAGGACUGGCUUGUUAAUAAUAAGGGAAAAAUCUUUAUACCCAAAAAUAACCAAUGGAAGAUAAUACAGGGUUUACACCAGGCUACUCAUUUGGGCAAAAUACUUUAAAACAUUGUAUUAAAAACAUAUUUGAUCGAAUAAAUUUAACAGCUACAAUAAAACUGGUCUGCCGAUCCUAUGUUGUUUGUGCACAAGUAAAUCUGGAAGACACAGUCUGCCCUCCCCCACUUUUAAAACCAAUCCAAAGCCAUAGGACAUAUCCAUAAGAGGACUGGCAGCCUGAUUUCACACAAAUGCCUCCUUGCAAAGGCUAUGAGUUCCUACUGGUGUUUGCUGAUACUUUCACUGGGUGGAUCGAGACUUUCCAUGUAAAAUGGAAAGAGCCACGGAAAUAACCAAAGUUUUCUUGCUAGAAAUUAUCCCUAGAUUUGGCCUCCAUGAGCCCUUCAGAGUGACAAUGGUCCUUCUUUUACUAUGCAAAUAAAUAGCACAAGAUUUUAAAAUUAAAUAUUUUGGAGGUGCCUGGGUGGCUCAGUUGGUUAAGCAUCAGACUUGAUUUCAGCUCCUUGCUGGGCAUGGAGCUUGCUUAAGAUUCUCUCUCUUCCUCUCCCUCUCCCUCUGCCCCUUCCUUGCACCCCACCCCCCACCUCAGUUCUCUCUCUCUUUCUAAAAAAAAAAAAAAUUAAAUAUUUUCUACAUUCAGCUUGGCUUCCACAAUCCUCUGGGAAGGUGGAAAAAGCUAAUCAUACUCUAAAAUGAUACCUUACUAAACUUAGCCCAGAGGCCCAGGAAAAUUGGGUUACUCUCUUACCAAUAGUACUUCUCAGAGUAAGAACAGCUCCAAAACAACCUCUAGGACUUAGCCCUUUUGAGUUAUUAUAUGGAAAGCCAUUUCUUACAGUAGACUUGUUAUUAGAUCAAGAUUAUAAUACUCCAUCAAAUUUUUCACUUAAGGUUGGUUUAAUGGUAAGUUACUUAAUGAGUAUACUGAUCACAUGCUCCCCAAACCUGAUUUAACUACAACUGAAAGUCCGCCGCACGUAAGUCCUGGAGAUAUGAUUUAUUUAAAAGAUUGGAAGUCAAAUACAGCGGGGGAUUUAAAUCCAAAAUAGAAAGGUCCAUAUGUACUCCCACUGCAGUAAAAUUAGAGGGGCACUCUUCAUGGGCUCAUAUCUAGAAUAAAACCUGUACCUCCUUCACAGGAAACCAGUGAGCAAACUAACAUGCCUUCUUACACCUGUGAACCUGUAGAAAAUCUAAAAUUCCUCUUCAAACAACAAUGAAGGUUGUAUAUUUUCUCCUUGUUUUCUGUUCAUCUAUCUUAGCUGACAAUUCCUUUCUAUAACGGGCACAGUAUUAUACUGAACUGCGACCUCAAACAACUUGUUGGAUAUAUGGAAUUUGCUCAAGUCAAGUUCAUCUGAAUUCCCUGGUGGGUUUUCCCCUUUGCAAGGCACUGAUUGGCACUCUCUGUAUACUUAUAUUUCAGAAAUAAUAUAUAAUGAUACCACGUUUCAUUGAUAAAUCUAUCACUACUUAGAAUGUUUCUUCCCAGCCCAUGACCAAUAGAACAUGGAAUUUACCAAGACAUAACCAGACUUUUUCAUACCCUCAAACUAUUAAAAUAUUAACUGACUUUACAAACCCACGAAUUGAUGCCCUCUAAUGAGUGCCUAACUUACAAAACCCCACUUAUCACUAUACUGAGGAUGGCAUAUAUCAAAUUUGGGAUGGAUAUUUAUGGCUCACACCCACUACUGGACAGUUCAGUCCAACGGCAAUUUUAUGGGGGAGGCAAGAAAUCAUACAUAUGACACUUGGGCAAAUAGCACAUGGCAUUUAGGAUGGCUAUCAUUAGAACAGGUUCUCAAACCAUUAUGCUCCAGGCAGCCGAUUGGCUUGCUACUGGUUGGAUAAGGCGACCUGGAAUCAGAUGGCUGGCUCCAAAUGAAAUCCACUGGUUAUGUGGAACUAACCACAUAUCCUCUAGGUCAUCGUCGCACCUUAGGUUUUGCCUGGAUUCACGGGUGCGUUAUCCAACCAUCACUUCCCCCAGGUGAUCUUCCCAAUUUAAAAAUAAGAUGGACACAGUCUAAAAAACAGAUAAUCACUUGGUGUCCAUUUUUGCUCCAUCUGUAGGAUUAGAAAGUGUAAUUUGGCGUAUAGAAGCCCUUAAUAAAUGCACCGUGAAGGUCCUCAAUGAUUCACAGAACAGCAUCUCCUUACUUAAUACUUAAGUCGCACAGAUAAGCAAGGCUGUUCUACAAAAUACAAUGGCUUUUGAUGUCCUAACAGCACAAGGUGGUACAUGUGACAUUAUUAACACAGGAUGCUGUGUAUACAUCCCAGAUGAUCACAAAAAUGUCACAAAGCUAUUAAAAGAUAUGAAUACCCAAAUCAAGGCUCUACAAAAUCUUUCCCUCCUUUUCAGUGAUUGGUUACAUUACUGGUUUGGAGGGGCAUUAUGGACAACUAUUAAGGGUCUCUUUGUUGCACUUCUCAUUCUUAUAGCCGUAUUCAUCCUAACAUAUUGCCUUUUUCAGUGUCUCUCUGCUGAGACUCCAUCACUACGAUGACUUCACAUCAACAGAUGAUCCUUUCCACAGAGAUACUUCUUUACUGUCCACAUUGGAUUCAGCUGCCUCUGCCUUUCGUAACUCCCCUAUACAUUCCCAGACUGACCAAUAUUGACCCAUAGGUAGGGACAUCUCUCUGCCCCUCUUCAGCAGGAACAAGUUACAGAAGAUAAGACCUUCCUCCCUCAGCAGCCUUAAAGAUUUAGGGGUCAAAAUUGUUGGGGGGGGGCAGAGGUGAUGUGGAGAACAAAGGCCAAAGGAAAUGGAGAUAAAAUUAAAUUUCCUUAUAACCUACAGCCCAUUGACAAAUACUUGAGGCAGGCAGGGUAAAACAUUUCUCCUGAAACUCCCUACAGUCUUAAUGCUAAUGCCUGCUUAGAGGCAAAAAAAAAAAAAAAAAAAAAAAAAAAAAAAACCCACAAAAAACAAAAAACCUUAGCUUGAGGAUAGUCAGGUGUUUAGGAUCUGUAAGUCUUCUUUAACAUAUGAAAGCCCUUUCGGAAACUUCCCCUGGUCUUUAUUUCCCCAACUCCCAAGUAUACAGUCUGUCAGCCCUCACACUUAAAAUGCAGCUCUUUCUGCCCAUGGGUCCUGCCUCAUGCUUUAAUAAAAGCAUCUUUUUGCACCGAAGGGGCUCCUGGCUGUCUUAGUCGGUGGAGCACACAACACUUGAUCUCAGGGUUGUAAGUUCGAGCCCCAAACUGGGUGUAGAGGUUACUUAAAAAUAAAAUCUUUAGGGGCGCCUGGGUGGCUCAGUAGGUUGAGCAUCUUACUUCAGCUCAGGUCAUGGUCUCACGGUUUGUGGGUUCAAGCCCUGCAUCGGGCUCUGUGCUGACAGCUCAGAACCUGGAGCUUGCUUUGGAUUCUGUGUCUCCCUCUCUCUCUGCCCCUUCCCCACUUGUGCUCUGUAUCUUUCAAAAAUAAACAUUCAAAAAAAUAAAAGAAAUAAAAUAUCUUAAAAAAUAAAAAAUAAAAUAAAAACACCUUUUUGCAUCAAAGACAUCUCAAGAAAGAAACUUGGCCUUGGCUCUGAACCCUAACACUUCAAACCGCAUGAUUAUCUCACUUAACUCUUGAAACAAUCCGUAAGCUAAGUUCUGAGGGGUGGAAACCAAAGCACGGAGAGGUUUUAAAAAAUGUUUACAGUGAUGGAGCUGGACUUCCAACCUACUUCACCUCACCUUACAGCCCAUGCCAUAAAAUGCCUUUUUCUAGAAUACCUUACCUUUCCCAUCAUGACUUACAAAACGUGUGCUCUUACCAAGCUCUGCCCAGGAAUUCUCAGUCUGAUUUCCCAGUCUGGACUCUGGACCUUCUCAGAGGUUCCUCCUGUAUCAGAAGUACCCUAUGUCCCCUUCCCUCUCUGCCAAGCAAACUGUUUUCCCCACACCCUCUCUUCAAAGAUUUCCUCAUGGAUACCUUCUCUGUGAGGUCCUCUCUUUGUGGGUGAAUCUGAGAUUGAGAUUCUCUUGCUCUUGUGUUCACUGUAAAGCUUAGGUAUUUUCCUAUCAUUGGAUGGCCAAGCUUGUGGGAACUUUUGUGUCCACCUGGAUGUCAGCUCCUUGAGAGUGUCCCAGUCUCAAAGCAGGGAGAACUUUCGUCCGCUUUCAAUAUGUCCUAACCAGUCUCUACUCUGAGAUACUAGUUAACACAUAACAUUUGUAGAAUAUGAUGAUAUUGCCAACAAAUGUGUAUUCACCUGCCUUCUCUAUAAAUGUAAGUGGCCAAAACCUCUAUAAGGAUUUUAAUCAAGAGGUAACUUUUCUCAAAACUGGAUUGCUUUAUUUUCUGAACUUAUACCUAGCUAGGGAUUUGGUCAUUUCAUCCUUGUGUUUUAUCUACCUUUACACUGUUCAGUUGCUUCUGAGUUAAAAGGGAAAGGCUAGCAAUUUCCUGCUCCUUGCCUGGUCUGUUGCUAGAAACGUGUGAGAUUUACUUGGCUCCGGUUUCCCUGAAUAUCUCUACCUUUCCAAGGAGGCAUCCAAACGCUGCAUUAAGGCAGCAUUAAUCUCUGCAGUGUUUCUUCCCGCUCAGGAGUUACCUCUUCCUGAAUCCUCUUCGUUUAUUGGAGGGAAAUUCCUAAUUGCCCUUAAUUUAUCACUCCUCUGACCCUGUUUCCAUUGCUGAUACAUUUUAUUGGCUUCAUGAAGACAAGACCAAAGCACUAAACUAAAAUAAAUUAAAAUGAAACCUACUUCAAUAAUUUAAGUUCCUGAAUGUUCUCCCUUACCCACUAUGGCUUUUAAGGUAUUUAAAGAAUAUCUCAUCGUGUGGCUUUUUCUAAAGCCAUUCUUCCAUCACUGUCUACUCCAGAUUUUUCUCAGUUCACUUUUGUACCCUGUUAGUAUUGUUUCAGUCCUCCUACCCCUUUCUAAAACCUCUUCUUUUUAAGCAUGCUGGUUUUAUAAAUCAAGAGCCUUCUGUUUUUCCCAUGGUCAUUUUUGGUUAUUCUCAUGUGGUCCUUCCUCAUUUAGUAGUUUUUCUGAGCAGUUAAGUCAUUUCCUGGACACAGAGGGUUUCAAAGAAGCCUUACUUUGCCUUAUUAUCCACUUUGCCCUCAAUCAACCCUUUGUAAUAGUAUCUGGUUCUUCCAAUCCUAUUUAACAUCCUCAUCUACUUUAUAAUCAACUCUCCAUUCUCUUCAAUGACCAGCUUCUGUGGUUCAUCCUUCUAUUUGCCUUUCUCCCGUGAUAUUACAUCCGGGCUGAUCAAAAUUGAGCUUCCUUUAGCUUUCUGCCAAUUGAUUUUUAGGAGUGAGUCAAAAAUAAUUUUAUUUUGGGCUCAUGGUAACUCUUUUUCACUUGUGCCAAUAAUCAUGUAUGCUAAACACAUUGAUUUAAAAAUAAGCACAUGCUUAUUGUCAUAAAGCAACCGUAUUUUUUCCCAUGAUCUACUACUAGUUAUAAAAACAUUUCAUCUCCUUAGGUAAUUAUGAUAGUCACAGAAAUAACUUUUAAAUACUGCUAUGUGUCUUCUCUAAAAAACUAUCUCAUUUUCAUGAAAACUGCCUUCUUGGUCUUAAACCAUCUACACUUGUUAAUACCUGUGGUAUAGAUGCUUCUUAGGUUUCUGAUGGAAAGAUUUUGCUGACUGAUCCAAGCUUAGACUUUUGCCCUUUUUUUGGGGUGACAGACAGGUUUUUCUAAAUUAAUUAUGAAGUCAUUCUCAUCUGGAAUUCAUAAUAUUCAUGUAACAGUCUCAAAGAGCUUCAUGAAUAAAGAUAGCUACUGUAGAGUUUGACACUCUGAGGUAUAAAGGGGUUAAAUUAUGAGCCUCAGCAACCAAACAAUAAGGCCCUGAUGGAACCAAAGAGAGCCAGCCUGCCUAAAUCAUUUCUUCUGACUCCUCUCAAGCUCCCACCCGGUGUCCCACCUCCCGUCCCUUCUCCUUUGUUACUGGCUGUUUCCUCUGAUUGUAAUUCAUUCUGUAUUCCUUCCUGCUCCUCUGUCUUGGCUAAUUGUUCUUUUCCCACACUACUUGGUUUUAAUUUCCUCUAGUUAUCACCUUAUCACCAAUGUCUACACUUCCUCUCUCUUUCUGACCUAUCUCCAGUUCACUGCUGACCUGCAGGGUCCCUAGCACAACUGCUUAAUUCCCACUGUACGCGGGUUUGCCGAUCUCUGAAAUGGGAGUGGUAACUCUCCCUUUCUUCCCAAAGCCGCUGGAUCAAAAUCCAGUCUUUCUGGGACAGUCUUACCAAUAACAAACUAUGGGCGUGCUGCAUUCUGUGAUUAUUUUAAUGAACAUUCCAAUCGGUUUCACUAGCAAAGCUGGAAGCUGAGAGGAUAUGUCAUCCUUUUGGCUCUGUUUGCCCCUAUUUUUAACUUUGCGAGGGAAUCCAGCCACACGAGUUCUAAUUUUCUCUGUGUGGCACAUUCACUGACAGAGCAAUUUUCUCUGUGCUGUAAAAAUUUGAGUGACAUCCUGAGUAAACCUAUUAUCUCUUUUCUGAGGAAAAAAAAAUGUUCUUCUUACCCUUCCCCACAGGGUGGUGUCCUAGGAACUCCGUCAAAACACGUAGGCUCACUCACCAAGUUUCUUCACCAAGGGUUAAAAUGGAAAUCUUAAUUUUUAAAAGCUGGUGUCAUUAUUGCAUUAGAGAAGGAGGGGUAUCCAAUAUUUAACGUAGGCUCAUUGAUCCCAGGGUG
Molecule: long non-coding RNA, 10424 nt
Organism: Acinonyx jubatus (cheetah)
Lineage: Eukaryota; Metazoa; Chordata; Mammalia; Carnivora; Felidae
Exons: 5
Source: RefSeq, a predicted model, not a curated record